AGCGGGCGAGGUUGCUUCGGUAACUGAGCUAGCGGCGGACGGGUGAGUAAAGCUUAGGAAUCUGCCUAUUAGUGGGGGACAACAUUCCGAAAGGGAUGCUAAUACCGCAUACGUCCUACGGGAGAAAGCAGGGGAUCACUUGUGACCUUGCGCUAAUAGAUGAGCCUAAGUCGGAUUAGCUAGUUGGUGGGGUAAAGGCCUACCAAGGCGACGAUCUGUAGCGGGUCUGAGAGGAUGAUCCGCCACACUGGGACUGAGACACGGCCCAGACUCCUACGGGAGGCAGCAGUGGGGAAUAUUGGACAAUGGGGGGAACCCUGAUCCAGCCAUGCCGCGUGUGUGAAGAAGGCCUUUUGGUUGUAAAGCACUUUAAGCGAGGAGGAGGCUUACCUGGUUAAUACCUGGGAUAAGUGGACGUUACUCGCAGAAUAAGCACCGGCUAACUCUGUGCCAGCAGCCGCGGUAAUACAGAGGGUGCGAGCGUUAAUCGGAUUUACUGGGCGUAAAGCGCGCGUAGGUGGUUAAUUAAGUCAAAUGUGAAAUCCCCGAGCUUAACUUGGGAAUUGCAUUCGAUACUGGUUAGCUAGAGUAUGGGAGAGGAUGGUAGAAUUCCAGGUGUAGCGGUGAAAUGCGUAGAGAUCUGGAGGAAUACCGAUGGCGAAGGCAGCCAUCUGGCCUAAUACUGACACUGAGGUGCGAAAGCAUGGGGAGCAAACAGGAUUAGAUACCCUGGUAGUCCAUGCCGUAAACGAUGUCUACUAGCCGUUGGGGGAUUUGAUCCUUUAGUGGCGCAGCUAACGCGAUAAGUAGACCGCCUGGGGAGUACGGUCGCAAGACUAAAACUCAAAUGAAUUGACGGGGGCCCGCACAAGCGGUGGAGCAUGUGGUUUAAUUCGAUGCAACGCGAAGAACCUUACCUGGCCUUGACAUAGUAGAGACUUUCCAGAGAUGGAUUGGUGCCUUCGGGAAUC
RNAcentral lists this ribosomal RNA (971 nucleotides) under Acinetobacter sp. NF205. RNAcentral's name for it is "bacterial SSU rRNA". It matches the Rfam family "Bacterial small subunit ribosomal RNA", at positions 65 to 1028 of the family's 1533-position model. The record is from RNAcentral. Lineage: Bacteria; Pseudomonadati; Pseudomonadota; Gammaproteobacteria; Moraxellales; Moraxellaceae. RNAcentral also lists the same sequence under 1 other name.